GGUUUAGUGGUGUAGCGGCUAUCACGUUUCGUUUACAAAUUGGUUACAAUUGUAAGCUCCGAAAAGGUCCCGAGUUCGAUCCUCGGCUAGAUCA
RNAcentral lists this transfer RNA (94 nucleotides) under Lodderomyces orthopsilosis Co 90-125. RNAcentral's name for it is "Candida orthopsilosis Co 90-125 tRNA". It matches the Rfam family "tRNA". Rfam says of the family: Transfer RNA (tRNA) molecules are approximately 80 nucleotides in length. Their secondary structure includes four short double-helical elements and three loops (D, anti-codon, and T loops). The record is from RNAcentral. Lineage: Eukaryota; Fungi; Ascomycota; Pichiomycetes; Serinales; Debaryomycetaceae.